RNAcentral lists this long non-coding RNA (642 nucleotides) under Medicago truncatula (barrel medic). RNAcentral describes it as "long non-coding RNA (MTRU_LNC006242)". The record is from RNAcentral. Lineage: Eukaryota; Viridiplantae; Streptophyta; Magnoliopsida; Fabales; Fabaceae.
GCCUGCAGAAUUGUUCCUUCAAGAUGGGAAUGAAUUUGAAGUUGAUCCUUCAUAGGACUACACCCAAAUCAGGCAAAAGAUUACUGGUGGAUGAUCAAAGGAACUCAACGACUCUUUAGACGUGCUAAAAAUCUCAACGUCUCUCUACUCACCACUAUAUAAAGGAGUGAAGACUUGAAGAUUGGUAGAGACAUCAACACAAGUUAAAAGCGCCAAAACUCUUCCAAAUUUGAUUCUAAAAGCACUCUGAAUUUCUGCACUGAUUUGAUAUAUCUUAGAAAUUCUUAAGUCUAGAGUCUUUUAUUGCAUUGUAUUGUGAACACCACUGAUUGUAUAUCAAGUGUUCAAGUCAAACAAUUUUCUGUGUAAUUCUGUUUGAUUAGAAGUCUCUCGCCUGCGUGCUUGAGCAUUAGAAGUCUCUUGCUUUAGUGCUUGAGCAUUGGAAGUCUCUCGCCUGCGUGCUUGAGCAUUUGAGAAGUCUCAUACUAGAUAGUAUUGAGCAGUUGUAAUCUGUGUGAUUAUUUCUUAGUGGAAAUCUCCUUGGAAGUGCAAGGGGGACUGGACUACUUCCGGUUUGUGGAAGGAACCAGGAUAAUUGCUUGUGUCUCUCUUUCUUUUCUCUGCUCUGUUUUUAUUCCGCUG